Molecule: ribosomal RNA, 468 nt
Filed under: uncultured bacterium
Lineage: Bacteria
Description: partial 16S ribosomal RNA
Rfam family: Bacterial small subunit ribosomal RNA
Source: RNAcentral
GACGAACGCUGGCGGCGUGCUUAACACAUGCAAGUCGAACGGAAAGGCCCUGCUUUUGUGGGGUGCUCGAGUGGCGAACGGGUGAGUAACACGUGAGUAACCUGCCCUUGACUUUGGGAUAACUUCAGGAAACUGGGGCUAAUACCGGAUAGGAGCUCCUGCUGCAUGGUGGGGGUUGGAAAGUUUCGGCGGUUGGGGAUGGACUCGCGGCUUAUCAGCUUGUUGGUGGGGUAGUGGCUUACCAAGGCUUUGACGGGUAGCCGGCCUGAGAGGGUGACCGGCCCCCUUGGGACUGAGAUACGGCCCAGACUCCUACGGGAGGCAGCAGUGGGGAAUAUUGCACAAUGGGCGGAAGCCUGAUGCAGCAACGCCGCGUGCGGGAUGACGGCCUUCGGGUUGUAAACCGCUUUCGCCUGUGACGAAGCGUGAGUGACGGUAAUGGGUAAAGAAGCACCGGCUAACUACGUG